UUGAGUCGGUUUGAGUCAAUUUUUAGGAUCGAGUCAGUCAAAAAUUUGUGGGAAUUAAGACUUUAUUCUGUGUUGAUCACUAACCACCUCGUGUUUUAGUUAUCUUAUUCAGUGACCUUAGUAGUGACGAAAGACACACAUGUGGACCUGGAACACCCUGGCAUACCUCAUUUGAUUCUCCAGAAGUUCUUGGCUGAUCUGGUUACACUGGGUAGACUUAACUCCACCUAACCUUAACCUAAUCUCGACUGAAAUUCUUCUUGUUAUGGGCACUAGAUCAGGGAAACCAGACCUACACUCAGGACGUCUUAUUCUUUAUAUCCAUCUCGCUGAUCCUGAGUGGCUAUCUCAUUUUUAGCUAGUUCCCACCUUGCACCUUAACCACUAUUCCAACCUCUUUCAUUUGAUUUUGAGUUUCAUAUGUGCCGAUAUGUGGAAAAAGGUUGGAGAGGAAAGGAUCGAAGCAGUCUCGUACUCGUUAAUGCCAUUAAGAAUCAAAGAUAGGGGAGCAGUCAGAUUUUGCGAACAGCCGAGCAAUCAAUUAUAAGGAGCAGCCGCUCCUUCGGCAGAUACAUGUGCUAGAGCAAGGUGGAGAAACAGAAUGGUGCGAAAACAAGACCGCUAGUGGCAAUCC
RNAcentral lists this long non-coding RNA (634 nucleotides) under Brassica napus (rape). Its description in RNAcentral is "long non-coding RNA (BNAP_LNC014994)". The record is from RNAcentral. Lineage: Eukaryota; Viridiplantae; Streptophyta; Magnoliopsida; Brassicales; Brassicaceae.